Symsagittifera roscoffensis is the source of this 881-nucleotide long non-coding RNA. RefSeq lists it as uncharacterized. The record is from RefSeq and is a predicted model, not a curated record. Lineage: Eukaryota; Metazoa; Xenacoelomorpha; Acoela; Convolutidae. The transcript has 2 exons.
AUUUUUCAGGACGAAAUGAAGCUGAAGACACAUCUGUUCUUUUGCGCUAUGGCUCUGAGCAGCACUGUGCUUCAAUUAUGUUCAGCAGAAGAAUCGACGUAUCCAUACGAUCAUGAAGUCAAAGAUGGCCAGAUUUUGGACGAUAAGUAUCCAGGCACUGCUUGCGAAAGGCUUAUGAAUUGUGUUGCCUGUGUCAAGUCAAUGGCAGACAGCGACCUGACAGACAAAUCUUGGACCGAAAUUCGAUCGAAAAUUUUGUCAUGCGGCGGGCUGAAAGAAGGUCCGAGCACCAGUCAUUCGUUUAAUGAUGCGAAUCAUUGUGAUUUGACCACUAUGCUGUCUAGUGUUCAAAGCAAUUCGAAUGCAGAUGGCAAGGUCAUUGGGAUUUCAACUCAAAACGCCUUAGGGGCGCUUAUUGUUGCUGAAUCUGAUCCGUCAAAGGGAGAGGGUGGCAGUUGGUCUACGUGUAUAAUUGGCAAUAAUAACAAAGAGGGACCUCAAGACGUCGCUCACAUACAAUUUAAGUCUAGAAUAGCAUUCAAAUUAGUUUGGUGCGCAGAUGACGAUUAUAGGAAGUUUCUCUUAGUUGAUGAUGUGGGAAAUAUAUUAAAGGAGGGGCAUGUUCAGAGUGGCGAUACGACGAAGCCAAGCAAGUUUGAGAGAAUGCUGAAUAACCAAUAUGUUAAAGGAGGAAUAUACGAUUCUUGCUGAUGCGGCAUUUGGACAUAUUUAUUUAAAGACUCAUUAAAGGUUAAUACAGGUGAAAUAUAUUUGAUCCAGAGACCCGCAAGAAGUAGUGAAUGGCCUGAAAAUUUUCCAUAUUAUCCUAAUUAUGUUUGUUUUUCAAUUAUUUGUCAAAUCGGGAAAAUAUUUAGAAAGUA